Molecule: long non-coding RNA, 472 nt
Filed under: Capra hircus (goat)
Lineage: Eukaryota; Metazoa; Chordata; Mammalia; Artiodactyla; Bovidae
Description: lncRNA (ENSCHIG00000001319.1)
Source: RNAcentral
GCCAGAAGUUUCUAAUGGACUUCAGUUGUCAAACGUCAGAGAAGAAAAGAAUUAGGGGACUGUUGUCCCUGCUUAAUAAAUGGGUACCAAGUGUAAAGAUAACUUUUGUCAUAAGCAAAUGCCCCGGAAAGUCCUCUGUUGUAGAGGAAGCUUCAAUAACCAGGCCAACGAGCUCCUCACCGGGCUGUGAGGGACAUCACCUAGACAAAUAACAGAAUAUGGGGAGCUACCCCUGUCCGAGGUCAGGGGUGGCGGCCGAGAGGAACAACCCACAUUUAAGGAGCGGUGGCUGCGUGGGCGCAGAAGGGCCGAGAGGAGCUACCCCACAUUCAGGAGGGGUGACCUCGUCCAAGGAAAGAAGCAGUGGCUGCGCUUUGCUGGAGCAGCUGUGAAGAAACCCCAAGUCCAAGGUAAGAGAAACCCAAGUAAGGCGGUAGGUCUUGCGAGAGGGCAUCAGAGGGCAGACAACUGA